UAAAAGAACCGAUCCUAAAAGUUCCACUUUUAAGAUCGGUUACAAAGAAAUCGAUCUUAAAAGUGGCACUUUUAAGAUUGGUUAUUUUA
This 89-nucleotide microRNA precursor is filed under the name Cajanus cajan (pigeon pea). RNAcentral's name for it is "miRNA gene-KK1_044137". Lineage: Eukaryota; Viridiplantae; Streptophyta; Magnoliopsida; Fabales; Fabaceae. The record is from RNAcentral.